UGCCUUCAGGUGUUGCCCUUUCAUUGCCCCCCUUGAUGAAAGAGGCGUCAGCAAAGGCAAACAUCAAGUCCUGGGUCGGCCUCUGACCGGUUCCUCAAUGGUGACCUGGUCAGAAGCUCCAUACCAAGAUCAGAG
Molecule: small nucleolar RNA, 135 nt
Filed under: Oryzias latipes (Japanese medaka)
Lineage: Eukaryota; Metazoa; Chordata; Actinopteri; Beloniformes; Adrianichthyidae
Description: Small nucleolar RNA SNORA13 (ENSORLG00020015198.1)
Rfam family: Small nucleolar RNA SNORA13
About the family: ACA13 is a member of the H/ACA class of snoRNA that guide the sites of modification of uridines to pseudouridines.
Source: RNAcentral